Molecule: transfer RNA, 76 nt
Filed under: Zophobihabitans entericus
Lineage: Bacteria; Pseudomonadati; Pseudomonadota; Gammaproteobacteria; Orbales; Orbaceae
Also listed under: 1 other name
Description: Orbus sp. IPMB12 tRNA-Lys
Rfam family: tRNA
About the family: Transfer RNA (tRNA) molecules are approximately 80 nucleotides in length. Their secondary structure includes four short double-helical elements and three loops (D, anti-codon, and T loops). Further hydrogen bonds mediate the characteristic L-shaped molecular structure. tRNAs have two regions of fundamental functional importance: the anti-codon, which is responsible for specific mRNA codon recognition, and the 3' end, to which the tRNAs corresponding amino acid is attached (by aminoacyl-tRNA synthetases). tRNAs cope with the degeneracy of the genetic code in two manners: having more than one tRNA (with a specific anti-codon) for a particular amino acid; and 'wobble' base-pairing, i.e. permitting non-standard base-pairing at the 3rd anti-codon position.
Source: RNAcentral
GGGCUGUUAGCUCAGUCGGUAGAGCAGUUGACUCUUAAUCAAUUGGUCGUGGGUUCGAUCCCCCCACAGCCCACCA